UUAAGCGACUAAGCGUACACGGUGGAUGCCCUGGCAGUCAGAGGCGAUGAAGGACGUGCUAAUCUGCGAUAAGCGUCGGUAAGGUGAUAUGAACCGUUAUAACCGGCGAUUUCCGAAUGGGGAAACCCAGUGUGUUUCGACACACUAUCAUUAACUGAAUCCAUAGGUUAAUGAGGCGAACCGGGGGAACUGAAACAUCUAAGUACCCCGAGGAAAAGAAAUCAACCGAGAUUCCCCCAGUAGCGGCGAGCGAACGGGGAGCAGCCCAGAGCCUGAAUCAGUGUGUGUGUUAGUGGAAGCGUCUGGAAAGGCGCGCGAUACAGGGUGACAGCCCCGUACACAAAAAUGCACAUACUGUGAGCUCGAUGAGUAGGGCGGGACACGUGGUAUCCUGUCUGAAUAUGGGGGGACCAUCCUCCAAGGCUAAAUACUCCUGACUGACCGAUAGUGAACCAGUACCGUGAGGGAAAGGCGAAAAGAACCCCGGCGAGGGGAGUGAAAAAGAACCUGAAACCGUGUACGUACAAGCAGUGGGAGCACGCUUAGGCGUGUGACUGCGUACCUUUUGUAUAAUGGGUCAGCGACUUAUAUUCUGUAGCAAGGUUAACCGAAUAGGGGAGCCGAAGGGAAACCGAGUCUUAACUGGGCGUUAAGUUGCAGGGUAUAGACCCGAAACCCGGUGAUCUAGCCAUGGGCAGGUUGAAGGUUGGGUAACACUAACUGGAGGACCGAACCGACUAAUGUUGAAAAAUUAGCGGAUGACUUGUGGCUGGGGGUGAAAGGCCAAUCAAACCGGGAGAUAGCUGGUUCUCCCCGAAAGCUAUUUAGGUAGCGCCUCGUGAAUUCAUCUCCGGGGGUAGAGCACUGUUUCGGCAAGGGGGUCAUCCCGACUUACCAACCCGAUGCAAACUGCGAAUACCGGAGAAUGUUAUCACGGGAGACACACGGCGGGUGCUAACGUCCGUCGUGAAGAGGGAAACAACCCAGACCGCCAGCUAAGGUCCCAAAGUCAUGGUUAAGUGGGAAACGAUGUGGGAAGGCCCAGACAGCCAGGAUGUUGGCUUAGAAGCAGCCAUCAUUUAAAGAAAGCGUAAUAGCUCACUGGUCGAGUCGGCCUGCGCGGAAGAUGUAACGGGGCUAAACCAUGCACCGAAGCUGCGGCAGCGACGCUGAUGCGUUGUUGGGUAGGGGAGCGUUCUGUAAGCCUGCGAAGGUGUGCUGUGAGGCAUGCUGGAGGUAUCAGAAGUGCGAAUGCUGACAUAAGUAACGAUAAAGCGGGUGAAAAGCCCGCUCGCCGGAAGACCAAGGGUUCCUGUCCAACGUUAAUCGGGGCAGGGUGAGUCGACCCCUAAGGCGAGGCCGAAAGGCGUAGUCGAUGGGAAACAGGUUAAUAUUCCUGUACUUGGUGUUACUGCGAAGGGGGGACGGAGAAGGCUAUGUUGGCCGGGCGACGGUUGUCCCGGUUUAAGCGUGUAGGCUGGUUUUCCAGGCAAAUCCGGAAAACUAAGGCUGAGGCGUGAUGACGAGGCACUACGGUGCUGAAGCAACAAAUGCCCUGCUUCCAGGAAAAGCCUCUAAGCAUCAGGUAACAUCAAAUCGUACCCCAAACCGACACAGGUGGUCAGGUAGAGAAUACCAAGGCGCUUGAGAGAACUCGGGUGAAGGAACUAGGCAAAAUGGUGCCGUAACUUCGGGAGAAGGCACGCUGAUAUGUAGGUGAAGUCCCUCGCGGAUGGAGCUGAAAUCAGUCGAAGAUACCAGCUGGCUGCAACUGUUUAUUAAAAACACAGCACUGUGCAAACACGAAAGUGGACGUAUACGGUGUGACGCCUGCCCGGUGCCGGAAGGUUAAUUGAUGGGGUCAGCGCAAGCGAAGCUCUUGAUCGAAGCCCCGGUAAACGGCGGCCGUAACUAUAACGGUCCUAAGGUAGCGAAAUUCCUUGUCGGGUAAGUUCCGACCUGCACGAAUGGCGUAAUGAUGGCCAGGCUGUCUCCACCCGAGACUCAGUGAAAUUGAACUCGCUGUGAAGAUGCAGUGUACCCGCGGCAAGACGGAAAGACCCCGUGAACCUUUACUAUAGCUUGACACUGAACAUUGAGCCUUGAUGUGUAGGAUAGGUGGGAGGCUUUGAAGUGUGGACGCCAGUCUGCAUGGAGCCGACCUUGAAAUACCACCCUUUAAUGUUUGAUGUUCUAACGUUGACCCGUGAUCCGGGUUGCGGACAGUGUCUGGUGGGUAGUUUGACUGGGGCGGUCUCCUCCUAAAGAGUAACGGAGGAGCACGAAGGUUGGCUAAUCCUGGUCGGACAUCAGGAGGUUAGUGCAAUGGCAUAAGCCAGCUUGACUGCGAGCGUGACGGCGCGAGCAGGUGCGAAAGCAGGUCAUAGUGAUCCGGUGGUUCUGAAUGGAAGGGCCAUCGCUCAACGGAUAAAAGGUACUCCGGGGAUAACAGGCUGAUACCGCCCAAGAGUUCAUAUCGACGGCGGUGUUUGGCACCUCGAUGUCGGCUCAUCACAUCCUGGGGCUGAAGUAGGUCCCAAGGGUAUGGCUGUUCGCCAUUUAAAGUGGUACGCGAGCUGGGUUUAGAACGUCGUGAGACAGUUCGGUCCCUAUCUGCCGUGGGCGCUGGAGAACUGAGGGGGGCUGCUCCUAGUACGAGAGGACCGGAGUGGACGCAUCACUGGUGUUCGGGUUGUCAUGCCAAUGGCACUGCCCGGUAGCUAAAUGCGGAAGAGAUAAGUGCUGAAAGCAUCUAAGCACGAAACUUGCCCCGAGAUGAGUUCUCCCUGACUCCUUGAGAGUCCUGAAGGAACGUUGAAGACGACGACGUUGAUAGGCCGGGUGUGUAAGCGCAGCGAUGCGUUGAGCUAACCGGUACUAAUGAACCGUGAGGCUUAACCUU
This 2902-nucleotide ribosomal RNA is filed under the name Escherichia coli. RNAcentral's name for it is "bacterial LSU rRNA". It matches the Rfam family "Bacterial large subunit ribosomal RNA". The record is from RNAcentral. Lineage: Bacteria; Pseudomonadati; Pseudomonadota; Gammaproteobacteria; Enterobacterales; Enterobacteriaceae.